UACGUAGGGUGCGAGCGUUAAUCGGAUUUACUGGGCGUAAAGCGUGCGCAGGCGGCCCGUUAAGACAGGUGUGAAAUCCCUGGGCUCAACCUAGGAAUUGCGCUUGUGACUGGCGGGCUCGAGUACGGUAGAGGGGGGUGGAAUUCCUGGUGUAGCAGUGAAAUGCGUAGAGAUCAGGAGGAACACCGAUGGCGAAGGCAGCCCCCUGGGCCUGUACUGACGCUGAGGUACGAAAGCGUGGGGAGCAAACAGG
This 253-nucleotide ribosomal RNA is filed under the name uncultured microorganism. RNAcentral describes it as "partial 16S ribosomal RNA". It matches the Rfam family "Bacterial small subunit ribosomal RNA", at positions 524 to 776 of the family's 1533-position model. The record is from RNAcentral.